CGGUUAUCGGGAAGUUGGUUCAGGUGAAGGCUUCUUUGAUGUGCCCGCAGUUCUCUCUUUGCACCUCUGCGGGGAGAGGGAACAAAAGACUCUCAGGUUUCUUUACCUACACCAAACAUGCCUCUAAGAAAUAAACCUAAACGAGUAAAGGAAAGAACUUUCCUUCCCAACAGCCAUAGAUGUUACAGCAAAAUAACUUAAUUUUGGAGUCAGAGCCCAAAGAGAACAUACAUGGCUUUGUUCCAGAAUUCUGCAUCCUUUCCUGCUUCUGUCAGGAUUCCUUUUUUCAAGCAUCUAUACUUCAACUGUUCUGAACCAGUAUGAUGUGUGGGAUUUUA
This is a long non-coding RNA of Suricata suricatta (meerkat), 338 nucleotides long. RefSeq lists it as uncharacterized. The record is from RefSeq and is a predicted model, not a curated record. NCBI's taxonomy places the organism in Eukaryota, Metazoa, Chordata, Mammalia, Carnivora, Herpestidae. The transcript is spliced from 3 exons.